Molecule: long non-coding RNA, 214 nt
Organism: Mytilus trossulus (common blue mussel)
Lineage: Eukaryota; Metazoa; Mollusca; Bivalvia; Mytilida; Mytilidae
Exons: 3
Source: RefSeq, a predicted model, not a curated record
ACAACAUUUAGAUUUGAAAUUUUCAAAGAGACAGCAUUUCGACCGAAGAGCUGACAACAGCCUGAAGCAACCAAUUCUUCUUCAACAAAGCGAGUUGCCCUACACCCGUAGUUAGCAUGGCAAAGGAAGAAAUGUUUGAAAACAACAGCUUUUUUCAUAAACUUGUAAAAAGACAAGGGUGUAACAAGCCAUGCAAUGGUGUACAUGACCCCAG